UACGUAGGGUGCGAGCGUUAAUCGGAGUUACUGGGCGUAAAGCGUGCGCAGGCGGUUCGUUGUGUCGGCGGUGAAAGCCCCGGGCUUAACCUGGGAAUGGCCGUUGAAACUGGCGAACUGGAGUGUGGCAGAGGGGGUGGAAUUCCGCGUGGUAGCAGUGAAAUGCGUAGAGAAUGUGGAGGAACACCGAUGGCGAAGGCAGCCCCUGGGUCAAGAUUGACGCUCAUGCACGAAAGCGUGGGGAGCAAACAGG
Molecule: ribosomal RNA, 253 nt
Filed under: uncultured bacterium
Lineage: Bacteria
Description: partial 16S ribosomal RNA
Rfam family: Bacterial small subunit ribosomal RNA
Source: RNAcentral